This is a long non-coding RNA of Micropterus salmoides (largemouth bass), 423 nucleotides long. RefSeq lists it as uncharacterized. The record is from RefSeq and is a predicted model, not a curated record. NCBI's taxonomy places the organism in Eukaryota, Metazoa, Chordata, Actinopteri, Centrarchiformes, Centrarchidae. The transcript is spliced from 3 exons.
AGAGUAAGCUAGCUAGGAGCACUUGCUAGUGACUAUUUACCUCCCAAUUCUGAAAACUCUGUUUGCAGUCUAAGGUCGGUACAAGUUAAACUGUUAACCUUGAACACCAUUUGGGCUGGCUGCUUGUUGGAGUCCUGGUAAUGGCUAACCUUAACCUUACCUAGCAGAGAGGUUGCAGUACUUUAGUCUCUUCCUGCGAGCAGACCUCUCAUCAUUCUCCCUGAUGAUUUCUAAUGUUUAGGGAGGGACUGAAGCACAUAGAAGAUGGAGGUUUGGGUGGAUGGAGAGAUGGCAGGAAUAGGGGGACGCAGCAGAGAGGGUGCCUAUUGUACAUCGGGCCUAGGACUACAGAUGAAAAAUAGCCUUUUGGCUAACUCUGGCAUAUUUUGAGCUGUCAUGUUAAUAUGUACUAUCCUUGCAAAU